Molecule: long non-coding RNA, 1359 nt
Organism: Cyprinus carpio carpio
Lineage: Eukaryota; Metazoa; Chordata; Actinopteri; Cypriniformes; Cyprinidae
Source: Ensembl
CGAUGAGAUAACUGCUACUGUGCGAAGUGACUAUUCUAUUCUUCAGCUGGCCCAGUCAUUUUUUAAUAAACAUGCACAGGAUCCCACCAAAUAUGACUAUAUUCGCCAGACACUCAGAGAAAGUGGAAGACUUCUGCUUACGCUUCGCAAGGAAUUCUCAAUACAAACUCUUGAAGAUGCUGUGAGACCAGCAAAUUUUGAUGUGGUGAUCAAAGCUGUUAAGAAAGUGUCUGGGUACGAUGACGAAAAGCACUGCUACCGUACUCCAAGCCUUGCAUUAAAGUUGGGUCACUCACUCCAGAAAGUCAGUGACAUUUUUACAUUGUAGAGCACUGAUGGCAGAAGACAGUAACCUGAUAAAGUCAACCCAGAGUUUUUAAAACCCUCUAUGCUACAAAGUGGUCAGAACUCAUCUCCCACACUGCUUUAACUACGCUAAAUGAGCGCCACUUUAACAAGCCUUCCACUCUUCCUUUUACGAAAGAUGUUCAGUGUCUUCAUAGACAUCUGGAGAAGUCUACAGAACAAGCAUUGAAGGACUUGGAUGACCAUAGUUCACCAAAAUCAUAUAGUGAACUUUGUAAAGCCACCAUGGCAAAUGUAAUACUUUUUUUAAUAGGAGAAGAGGGGGAGAAGUUUCAAAGAUGACGCUGAAUGGUUUUCUGGAGAGAGACACAAGUGCCCUGCACAAGGAUGUCGCUUUUGGACUGACACAAUUUGAACUUCAUCUUUGUCAACACUUCAGUCGUGUUGAAUUAAAGGGGUAAAAAGAGGCCGGAAAGUUGCAGUGUUACUUUCACCAGACAUGGUGAUGGCAAUAACACGCCUAAUAGAGAAAAGAAAAGACUGUGGUGUUCUGGCAGAAAACCUGUUCCUGUUUGCCAGGCCUCAUUGUCUGACUCCCUACAGAGGACAGGACUGUUUGAGGCUCUAUGCGAGUGAAUGUGGGGCUGAAAACCCUGAGCUCCUCAGGUCCACGCUAUUACGGAAACAUGUCGCAACUUUGUCACAGAUCUUGAAUCUCAAGAAUCAUGAGUUAGACCAAGUUGCUGACUUUCUUGGGCAUGAUAUUCGCGUUCAUCGUGAAUUUUACCGACUUCAGAGGCUACUACCCAGCUGGCCAAAAUCUCCAAAUUACUGCUUGCCAUGGAGAAAGGUUCUCUCAGAAACCUUCAAGGCAAAACACUUGAGGAGAUUGAAAUUGAAGAUCACCUACAGUUGACCGAAUCAAGUGCAGAGAGUGAGGUUGAUGCAGAAAGUGAGGUCGAUGAAGGAAAUCUCACAUAUCCACAGACUGGUAAGUACAGUGUGAUUUUUCUUGAAUUUGUUUUUAUGAAAUCACAUGACACAUGUUAAACU